GGAGAUUGAGGCUAAAAAACCAGCUGCUCCGAGGAAGAGAAAUCCUCCUACUCAUCCUUCGUACUUUGAGGUAUAAUUCGUUAACUAAAUUGUUCAAUUUGUUAAGGAAAUGUUGAAUUUUGGAAAUUAGGACUGUAUCCGUGCAAAUGAAGCGCAAUGAAAAUUGAGGAUUCGUAUCGAUUGAGCUGCAGUAGUUGUUAUGUAGAUGAUUAGUGAAAAUUGAGGAUCUGUAUGGAUUGAUCAAGCUAUAGUUGUUAUAGUUGAAUUAAUUUGUUAAUUUGCCUAAUUUUGCAGAUGAUUAAGGAUGCGAUUGUAACACUGAAGGAUAAAACUGGAUCGAGCCAGCACGCGAUCACAAAGUUCAUCGAAGAUAAGCAGAAGAAUCUUCCAUCAAAUUUCAGGAAACUGUUGCUUGUUCAAUUGAAGAAGCUUGUGGCUUCUGGUAAACUCGUCAAGGUUAAGAGUUCGUACAAACUUCCAGCUGCACGAUCUGCAGCUCCAAAGGCUGCUGCUACUGCGCCGGCGAAGAAGAAGCCGGCAGCUAAGCCGAAAGCAACAAAGGCAAAACCGAAGCCAAAACCUAAGACUGUUGCUCCAAAGGCAAAAAC
RNAcentral lists this long non-coding RNA (608 nucleotides) under Nicotiana tabacum (common tobacco). RNAcentral describes it as "long non-coding RNA (NTAB_LNC004545)". Lineage: Eukaryota; Viridiplantae; Streptophyta; Magnoliopsida; Solanales; Solanaceae. The record is from RNAcentral.